AUACAACGUCAAGUCUAGUUGGGUAACUAAAUCAAAUAUUUUAGCAGCUAGAACUUUAACUAAAUUGGCUUCAGCAUCCAAAUGAAUUUUCUAAUGUGAGAAUACUUAGACAAGAACGAGAACCUUGUCAAUUUUCCAGAUGCAAUAUUGCUACUACUAAAAUUGAUCUAUCUUUAUGUGCUAAUGGAUCCUACGAACCUCAGCAAACUUGAAACCCACUUUUAACGGAAGGAGAUACAUGAACUAAGGAUGAACUAAUCAAACAGAGGAAAUUUCAAUCUAGAACAAAAAUUAAGGAACAAACAAACCAAGAGUCCAUUCAUAAUAUCUAGAGGAACGGGUCUGGAAAUCAAAGAGAAAAUAAAGUUUUAGAAUUGAACCUUUAGAGCUGCAUUGUGUUCUUGGAACAAUGAAUAGAAAAAAAAACUCCAGGCCAAAUCUACCAUUGACGAACUCGACGGAUCGGACACCUACGACCUCGACGGACCGGACACCGACGACCUCGAGCACAGAACUUCAACGGAAUUAAUGGAGGAUUCUGGGAGGUUGUAAUGGCAGCGAUUCGAUCUAUUGUUCUCACGUUUUGGAGCUGGUUUUACAGCUUCAUGGUGGUUUUAAUGGAGGUUUUAAGCUACUUGUUUCUAUGGCCAGAACAGAGAAUUUAACGUAACGAAAAUAGAGUUUUGUGGGGAUGGAUCUGCUGAAGGUGAAGGAGAUGGCUACGAUUCUUCACUUUAUCUGUGUGCCUGAACAUUUUACUCUCUUUGUUAUUUGUAUCUAUAGCUCUUUUAGGUCUCCAGGUUUUUUGUUUUUUGAAGAAGAUAGAUCUGAUGGGAGGGGUCGUGAUUUUUGUUGAAGAAGGCAGAACGGUAGGGUGAAGGAGACGACGUUGAACAUCGCUGCGUAGGGGUCUCCUUAGGUCCGAUUCUUUGAGUUUUUCGGCUGAUCUCCUAGAGUGUAAGGAUGUCGGUCUAUUUUAGAUGUUAGAUACUAUAUAUAGGGGUAGAGAUUAAGUUAGGGGUAUGGGCCUAGGAAUUAUGGGCUAGGAAAUUGGGCCAAAGACUAAAAAAAUGGACUAUAAGAUUUAUAAAGACGAGAUAAACUAACCUAAAACUAAUUCAUCCUUCUAAAAUUAUGUACAAUUAUAAUAUAAAAAUAUAAAACUAAUUUUAAUUAAUUGAACUAAACUAUAAAACAUAAAACUAUUUUUGUGUUUUCAAGAUUAUAUAAAAAUAAAGAUAAGGUACUAUUUUUUAUAUAUUUUUUAUUUAAAUUUAUGAAAGAUACGUAAAGUAAAAUAUUUUUUUGUAAUUUUUAUUUUUAUGACGAAAAUAAAGUAAAGAAGUCAAAAAUAGUUGAAAUAGCUAUAUUAUGCCUAAAUUAAAUAUUUACGUACUAAGAUAUGGAAAAUCUUGGGGAGGGUCAAAAAUCACAUGUCUACAACUGCCCCUCUUUGACUGGAAAGACGAGGUAUUUUCAGACAAAGAAUGACUAGAUAGGUUUUUUGAUCCAACCCUUAUUUGGAGAGACUAAAACUAAUAAAGAGGGGAAUGUGACCGAGCUCUGGUAUCUGAGCUACUACAUAUCCUUGGCUAUAAAGGAAUCAGGCCAUGUGUAGUUCUGAAGUGAGUGAGAUGAUGGAGUAUGCCGAGGUGGAGAGCCGGUCGAGGUGCCGUUCCACCGAGGUUCCGGUCCGCGGUCCCGUUAUUACAUCAAAACCAAAAAUGAAAAAGACUAACUAAGCCUAUCAGCUACGAGUUACAAGAUUCCUAUCUAUGAGUCUUCUGAAGCUUGAUCUUGAGUCUUGGUUAGUUCUUCAUGCGGACCCUGAUCUGAAUCUUGAUGCUUGUUAGCCGCAGGUGUUGGUUCAAUCUUCUACGGCUUUUCAAACCAAGACGGGACAUGUAGAGCUCGUGAACUCAGCCCUGUCUUGAGUAGCUUACAUCUUUCAUUAACUUAUGCAUUUGGAUUCACUUCUUGUCUUUCUUUUUGUUGUUUUUUUUAUAUUUUUAUUCUGGAUUGUGACAAACUUCUGUUGAUCAUCUCGGACUGCUGACUCGCAUUCUUGACGCGAGCUUCUUUUGUUGCUGACCUGAAUUGCAUUCUGAAUUGAAUUCUCUUAUUUUCCAGACGGACGCCUGAUUGCUGAACUUGAACCGUCUUCUCUUGUUACUUGACACUGUUUUCCCUUGCACCUUGAACCAUUUUCCCUUGAAACUUGAAUUGUCUUCCUUCUAAACUGCUUUCCCUUGAAACUCGAGUUGUCUUCCUUCAAAACUGCUUUCCCUUGAAACUUGAGUUGUCUUCCUUCGAAAAUGCUUUCCCUUGAAACUUGAGGUGUCUUCCCUUGUUCUCCAGGUGGGCGCCUGAUUCUACAACAAAAUAGACAAAAUGAAAGAAAUUUUUUUUGCCCCAGUUUGCACUAGGAAGAUUUGUGAGUUGUUAGCAAAACUAUAAAUCACUCAUACUAUUGAUGCAAUGAUGAGAGUAAACUAAAGACUACACUAGGAUGUGCGUCUCCUAAAAGUGAUUGAGCUUGCGGAAAACUGUAAACUAAGCUUGACUAAAGUAAAGACUGACCUUAUUCUUCAGGCGGAGCCUCCUGAUUUCGGAAAAAAUAAACACUAAUUACUUAAGAAAACUAAAAAUUGACCCUUUUUUUUUUCAAAUCCAGACUUUCUUUUUUUCAAAUUAUCCAAGGAGAAAAUUCGUCAGACUAGAUUUUCUAUCUUAGGAGAAAGAUUCAUCAGACUAAGAUUUUGAUCCUAGGAGAAAAUUCAUUAAACUGAGUCCUUUUUUUCUCUCUUUUUUUUCUUUUGGUAUCGGUAUCUUAGGAGAAAGAUUCAUCUGACUAAGACGUUUAUCCUAGGAGAAAGUUCAUCAUACUAGGUCUUCUAUCUUAGGAGAAAAAUUCAUCAGACUAAGGUUUUGAUCCUAGGAGAAAAUUCGUCAGACUAGAUCUUUUUUUUUGUAUCUUAGGAGAAAGAUUCAUCAGACUAAGAUUUCUAUCCUAGGAGAAAAUUCAUCAGACUAGGUUUUCUAUCUUAGGAGAAAAAUUCAUCAGACUAAGACAUCUAUCCCAGGAGAAAGUUCAUCAGACUAGGUCUUUUUUUGUAUCUUAGGAGAAAGAUUCAUCAGACUAAGAUUUCUAUCAUAGGAGANNNNCAAUCAGCUUGAGUCGGCCUCAAAAGACUUUUGUUCUGCACCAACUCUGAUUGUUUCACAUUAGUACCAUUUGUAUUUGCAGCUAAAACAACAUAAUCCCAACUGAAGAUCUUUUCUUAGAUGACCUUUUCUGAUAUCUUGAAUGACUUCCUGCUUUGAGCAAUUUGUCUGUCAGAGAGAAUCACAAGUUAUCUUUAUUUGCGCCAAGCAUGCUGACAAGAGUCUUUUGGGGGAGCCUUUGUAUGAAUCCUCAAGGCAUGUUGACAUUAACAACUGAGUUUGCUAGCCAAAUUUACUUUGUACAAUUGAAAAGCUGGUAGCAGAUUUUGAAAUCUUUUCUUGCUUGUUUUGACAAGGACCGACUCAGAGUGAAGGAUAAAAUGAUGCAAAGAAACAAUUAUUAGCAAAAAAUGCCCCUGUCGGAAGGACAGAAGGAAGAGUUUUUCUUUUUUCUUUCUUUUUUUUUUCAUUUUUUUUCCUUUUUCACUAACUAGCCUUAAUGGUCAUGACAUGCAUUUUGGACUUAGUGGCCGAUCUAUCAAACUAAUUCCCUCCUCCCUUUUCUAUUCUUAGGACCUUUGAAGUCGAGCUUGUUUAUGCCAAUUCUUCACACCAGCUUUAUGACUCACUUUCGACUAGUGGUGCCCCGAGGAGUUUUCACCAACAAGUCUCUCUCAUUUAUUCAUCUCAGCUUACCGUCGCCUUAUAGUGCCUGUGAGGGUUUUCACCAGUAAGACUCUAUCAUUUCUUCUCUAUUUUUCUUUUUCUUUUGCUUUCUUGUGCGAGCAUUCUGACAGUGUUCUAUGUCGCGUGACCACCGUUGCUCAUUACAUGCUUCUCUUGGCAUUCUUGAAAGCAUAUCGGGAGGUCUUUGUUUGGAAGGUUUUUGGAUAGGGUUGGACAAAAAGGUCGGCAUGAAGGCUCAAAAUAAACUCAGAAUUAGGGGUUGUAGACUUACAACUCUAGGAAUCAAUUCUUUCAAAACAAUCUCUGCCCCAGUUUCAGAUGCUGGGGAUUUUUGGAUUUUUCUAUUUUUUUUUGCUGGACCGAACCGUGAGGCUGCCUACGUAUCCUUAUUUUCAAAGAAUCAGGUCUAACGUAGUUCAAACAUCUGACCUAAACUAUUAUUCAUCUUUCUUUCUGUUUCUUUUUUUUUCUUUUUAUUUUCAAAACAAGUUGCCCCGGCUUCUAUUUUUGAGGCAUGGACCUUCGACAGUUCUUUUUUUUUUCUUCUUUUUUUCACUUGAACUUUCAAAGAGCUUCCCCAGUUUGUACUCUUGGGGCAUGGACUUUUUUUUCUUUUUUUUCUCUUUUUUUUUGACUCUAAACUUGAUUUCAAAAGAGGGUAGUCAAAGAAAAUAACACAGGCUCAAAAGGGGUGACAAAGGGUAUAAAGUGUUUGGGUAGCAGAAAAAGGGCCUCCCAGCCUGAGAACGCUAAACAUAGUAUCCUUUCGCAAUCACGACAUUGAUGAACAUGUCUGUCUUCUUGGUGUGCCGUGGUCAUAAGACAUUUCUUCAUACCUUAGUGACAAACUUUCCAACAAACUUCAAUUGAUUAAACAUCCUCAAGAUCGAUCUUCACAAUAAUUUGAAGGUGAAUUUUACUCGACCUUAGUUCCAAAGUAUUCCAACUCUUUAUUCAUCCUCAAAAGUAUUUUUUUUAGUUAUCAAAUUCCAGAUUAAAUCAGUUCCUAAGAUCUGGCCAAAAUUUCCGCAUGCAUGUCAUGUCAUUAAGACUAGCAGGAAAAGAACUAAGCAUGAAAUGACACAAAAGGACAAACUGUAUUUCAUUGAGUAACAACAAGACAAACAACCUAAAUCCAAGUUACAACCCUAUGUAACCCGGCUAAUGAAAAUAGCAAUAGAACAGAAAGACAAGACUCACACAAACAGAAUAGAGGGAUAGAAGGGUUUGACUCAAUAAAACAAAUAAAUCUGGAUCACAACCCUGAAAUAACCCAGAUAAUAGAAAAAACAUCAAAACAAACUACCAAGAUUCCUUCCUAGUGAGGAGGGAAUGACUUUUCAAUUGCUAAGCUUGACAUUUAGCCACAAAUUUGCUCAUCAGGAUCAGCAGAGCCUUCUCCAAUUUCAAAAUCAUUAACUUCAGUUAGCAAAUUCCCGAGAGGAUUCUCAUACUCCCCAUCACCACGCAUCAUCCCCACAAAGUGUGCAUCAUCAUGUGCAGGUAAAGGAUUCUGCACGAUAUUCUGGGUGCCAUUGUCUUGGAUCACGAUUAGUUUUUCCUGGAUCAUCCUUUCUAUUUCUCUUUUCAAAUCUCGACAACUUUAAACAUUGUGCCCUAGGCAUUGGAAUGGUAUUCACACCUUUUAGAAGGGUCAAAACUUCUUGCACGUGGGUCCACAUGAUUUGGAGGAAUAGGUGCAAUCAUGUCAUAAUGCUUUAAUUUCUUCAACAAGCUUGCAUAAGACUCUCCUAUUGGUGUAAAAUUAUCUUUCAACUUUUGUUCCCCUCUAUACCUCUGGCCUGGAUGUGGGUUAUAGGGUACCUGGAAAUUUUGUGGAGGCUGGUAGUGAUUUUGUGAUGCUCGUGCUCACCUUUUGGGGUGUUUUGGUGGCUGGUCAACAUACUGAGGUGGAACAACAGAGUUUUGUGGGUUUUGAGGGGGAUAGUAAUGCUCAGGGGAGUUAUUGGAAAACAGACGAGGUUGGUCAUACCUUCGAGACACUCUCCUAGGACCUCUUCUCGACCCUGAUGUCAUCAUGAUUUCUUUAACCUUCUCAUUCGUGUCACUAAAAUUAUCAGAUUUGAUCUGGACAGCCUGAAUUGCGGUUUUGAGAACUGCUUGACUUAUAAUUUUUCCUGUCUUAAAACCAUUCUCAACCAUUUCCCCCAUUUUGAUUGCUUCCGAGAAAGAUUUACCCACUACGAACAUCAUAUUUUGAAAAUAAUCUGGCUCUUGAGCUUGAAGAAAGACAGUGAUUAGCUCGUGGUCGUCCAUGAGUGGCUUAACUCUGGCUUCUUGUUCUCUCCAUUUGGUGGCAUAUUCCCUGAAACUUUUAGUUGGUUUCUUCUUGAGAUUUGAAAGGGAAAUGCGGUUUGGGGCGAUGUCGAUGUUGUAUUGGAACUGAUUAACAAAGGCCUGUGCCAUGUCAUUCCAGACGUACCAGCGAGAUGUGUCUUGAUCCAAAAACCAUUCGGAUGCUACUCCCGUAAGGCUUUCCCCAAAAUAGGCCAUCAGCAAUUUUUCGUUUCUUCCUGCACCUCUCAGUUGAUUGCAAUAACUUUUCAGGUGGGCUAUGUGGUCUCCAUGUCCAUCAUACUUUUCAAAUUUGGGAGUCUUGAAACCAGGCGGCAAGUGGACAUCGGAGAACAUACAUAGAUCUUUGAAGGCAACACUCUUUUGACCUGCCAACCCUUGCAUGUUUUUCAACCGUUGUUCUAAGCUUUUCACUCUUUGGGCCACUUCUUCCUGUACCAUCUUUCGGGCAGGCAUCUCAACGUUUGCAGGAAGAUCAAACGAGUACGAGUGGUACUCAGGAGAGUGGUACUGCUCUUGUUGUGUAGCAAAUUGUGACUCAUGACGAGGUUGUCCUUGACCACUGGCCCAUGCUUGACACAUUUCGGUUAUUUGCUGUUUCAGCAUUCUAUUUUUCUCAAACACAGUAGACUCUUGUUGAACCCUCUGACCCUGAGUCUCUUGAGCACUUGUUCAGCUUCGAUGUCAGUUAUCUUACCACAAACCGACCACCUCAACUUUCUUCACAAUUCAAAACAAAACAUGUUAGAAUGGACUCAGUCGGUCCUUAUUAUUAUCAAUAUUUUUUCAUUUUUGUUUUCAUUUUUUUCUUUUUUUUUCAUUUUUCUUUCAAUGGUUGAUCGAACCUGAUGUGGGUUGCCUACGUAUCAUGUGGGAAUAUGAAUCAGAUCUUGUGUAGUUCGGGAAGAUCAUGAAUAAAGUAAAUAAACUAACUCUUUUUUUCGAAUUUUUAUUUUAUUUUUUCGAAAGAAAAACUUAUAAAGAAGAAAGGGAAUAUUUUUGGAUUUUAAUUUUUUGCAAAGAAAGACUUCUAAAGAAGAAAGAUUUUUUUUUUGAAUUUUUUAUUCCGGAAUUUCGAAAGAAAAACUUCUAAAGAAGAAAGAAAAUAUUUUUGGAAUUUUAUUUUGAAUUUAUGAAAGAAAUGCUUCUAAAAAAAGAAAAUAUUUUUAAAUUUUGAAUUUCUUUUCAAUUUAUUUGUAUAUUUGUUUUUUUAAAAAAUAAUUAGAGUCUAAAAGAAAGGCUUUCUAAAGAAGCAAGUAAUGGAAAUAUUUUUGCAAAUUGGGGUCCAAAAAAAAGACUUUUCUAGAGAGGAAGUAAGGGAAAAUAUUUUUGGAUUUUUUGAAAAUUAUGGGCCGGAACCGAUGAGGUUUUCCUACGUAUCUCACAUCCGGUGAGAAUCAGACCCGCGUAGUUCGCCCAUUUUGACGCAACAAGAAAAUAUGACUUAUUUUGAAAUGACCUUUCUUUUUUUCAAAAUUUCGGCAGAGUUUCAGGAUAUUUCAAAUACCUACCUCUCACUCUCUUUUCUUUUUUCUUCUUUCUCCUUUUUUUUGAUUUUAUUUUUUCUCUUUUUUUUCAUUUUCUUUCCCUAUUCUAGAAGCCAGUAAACAUGCAAGCCGAAACAGAUAGAUUCACAAGUAGCACGUAAGAUGCAUCAUGAUGGUCUUUUAAUUUGGGUACACCUGUCCUAGACGGACCCAACCCCUGUGUUGAGUCCCCAAAGUCAAAUGCACAUGAUAAAAACAAACGUUCCUACUAGGAAUCAGGCAUGAGGCUGAGUUAUUCUAAGAUACAAACCUGGGUAUAUUGUUCUAGACUUGUGUACCCGAGCGGACAACUCGAGCCAAGGAGGGGCUACGUACCGGGAACCAAAAGGCCAUCCGGCUUAGUAACUUGUCCGAGCCUCUUUCUUAUUUCAAGGUAUGACACAAACAGAAUAGGGAGUCUCGACCAACGAGCACAUCCCCAAAGAUGAGAAGAGAAGGGUUUCGUAGCAGUUUAUAUACAGUUCAGAUAAUAUCAAAGCGGUAAAAACCUCAUUUAAUACAUUAGGCCCAAGCAUGUAAUAAAAUUAGAUAACAGAUAAAGCAAAAUUCAAUAAUUCAUCUAAGCUCGAAUUCUGAACCCUGAACCAAAGAUUCUGGGUUCUUAUCCCAAGCAGCGUCGCCAGAGCUGUCACACCUCCUUUUUCACACUACACCCCAGGGGGUAUAAGGGAGUUUUUUCCAAUUUAAGUGACAAUCGAAACGGGAUUAUUUUAUUAAAGAUUCAGAGUCGCCACUUGGGAUAAUUUAUGGUGUCCCAAGUCACCGGUUUUAAAUCCUGAGUUGAGGAAAAGAUUGACUCUGUUCAACAGUCCGCGAACCAGAAAUCCUGAGUAAAGAAUUUUGUUAACCCGGGAGAAGGUGUUAGGCAUUCCCGAGUUCCGUGGUUCUAGCACGGUCGCUCAACUGUUAUAUUCAGCUUAAUUAUCUGAUUUUAAUACAUGUUUUAGCCUAUGGUUCAAUUUUAACUUCACCGCUUUUAUUCAUUUUUAAAGAAAAUUGCAACGUUAUUAGAACACGUCUUGAACUACGUCACAUAAAUGCACCCGUGAUUUUGACAUAUUUUAACAUCGUUGAGAUUUGGAUUUGGGUCACAUAAAUGCGCACCCGAAUUUAAUAAUGUAAUAUUAUUAAACUAACACGCCUAAGCUAUUACGAAUAUUCAUUGAGAAACCAUAAUUGUGUCACGCGAACGUGUACAUAAUCACGGUAUUAAAUUCAAAAUGUGCCUAAAGGUUCGCCUACUCGGGUGUGGUCGGCCUAGCAUACGCCUAACGAUUGAAUUAAUAAAGUAAUAACAGAAGCAUUAAAAUAUUUGAAGUCUAAAUUUUUGUCCAUUUAAGUAACACCCUUCCACCCAAGAAAAUUUAAGCAUAAAAAAAAUACAGAAUGAGCAGAUAACGAUGGCAUAUUUUUGGAAGAUUGGUAGUAGACAACGUCAAGUCUAGUUGGGUAACUAAAUCAAAUAUUUUAGCAGCUAGAACUUUAACUAAAUUGGCCUUAGCAUCCAAAUGAAUUUUCUAAUGUGAGAAUACUUAGACAAGAACGAGAACCUUGUCAAUUUUCCAGAUGCAAUAUUGCUACUACUAAAAUUGAUCUAUCUUUAUGUGCUAAUGGAUCCUACGAACCUCAGCAAACUUGAAACCCACUUUUAACAGAAGGAUAUACAUGAACUAAGGAUGAACUAAUCAAAUAGAGGCAAUUUCAAUCUAGAACGAAAAUUAAGGAACAAACAAACCAACAAUCCAUUCAUAAUAUCUAGAGAAACGGGUCUGGAAAUCAAAGAGCAAAUAAAGUUUUAGAAUUGAACCUUUAAAGCUGCAUUGUGUUCUUGGAACAAUGAAUAGAAAAAUAAACUCCAGGCCAAAUCUACGGUUGACGAACUCGACGGACCGGACACCGACGGCCUCGAGCACAGAACUUCAACGGAAUUAAUGGAGGAUUCUGGGAGGUUGUAAUGGCAGCGAUUCGAUCUAUUGUUCUCACGUUUUGGAGCUGGUUUUACAGCUUCAUGGUGGUUUUAAUGGAGGUUUUAAGCUACUGGUUUCUAUACCCAGAACAGAGAAUUUAACGCGACGAAAAUAGAGUUUUGUGGGGAUGGAUCUGCUGAAGGUGAAGGAGAUGGUUGCGGUUCUUCACUUUAUCUGUGUGCCUGAACAUUUUGCUCUCUUUGUUAUUUGUAUCUAUAGCUCUUUUAGGUCUCCAAGUUUUUUGUUUUUUUGAAGAAGAUAGAUCUAAUGGGAGGGGUUGUGAUUUUCGUUGAAGAAGGCAGAACGGUGGGGUGAAGGAGACGACGUUGAACAUCGCUGCGUAGGGGUCUCCUCAGGUCCGAUUCUUUGAGUUUUUCGGCUGAUCUCCUAGAGUGUAGGGAU
This 10084-nucleotide long non-coding RNA is filed under the name Nicotiana tabacum (common tobacco). RNAcentral's name for it is "long non-coding RNA (NTAB_LNC000510)". Lineage: Eukaryota; Viridiplantae; Streptophyta; Magnoliopsida; Solanales; Solanaceae. The record is from RNAcentral.